Molecule: non-coding RNA, 24 nt
Filed under: Arabidopsis thaliana (thale cress)
Lineage: Eukaryota; Viridiplantae; Streptophyta; Magnoliopsida; Brassicales; Brassicaceae
Source: RNAcentral
AAGCAGUAGGUGCCAGGUCACGCA